RNAcentral lists this ribosomal RNA (677 nucleotides) under Escherichia sp. RNAcentral describes it as "bacterial SSU rRNA". It matches the Rfam family "Bacterial small subunit ribosomal RNA", at positions 21 to 688 of the family's 1533-position model. Lineage: Bacteria; Pseudomonadati; Pseudomonadota; Gammaproteobacteria; Enterobacterales; Enterobacteriaceae. The record is from RNAcentral.
GGCUCAGAUUGAACGCUGGCGGCAGGCCUAACACAUGCAAGUCGAACGGUAACAGGAAGAAGCUUGCUUCUUUGCUGACGAGUGGCGGACGGGUGAGUAAUGUCUGGGAAACUGCCUGAUGGAGGGGGAUAACUACUGGAAACGGUAGCUAAUACCGCAUAACGUCGCAAGACCAAAGAGGGGGACCUUCGGGCCUCUUGCCAUCGGAUGUGCCCAGAUGGGAUUAGCUUGUUGGUGGGGUAACGGCUCACCAAGGCGACGAUCCCUAGCUGGUCUGAGAGGAUGACCAGCCACACUGGAACUGAGACACGGUCCAGACUCCUACGGGAGGCAGCAGUGGGGAAUAUUGCACAAUGGGCGCAAGCCUGAUGCAGCCAUGCCGCGUGUAUGAAGAAGGCCUUCGGGUUGUAAAGUACUUUCAGCGGGGAGGAAGGGAGUAAAGUUAAUACCUUUGCUCAUUGACGUUACCCGCAGAAGAAGCACCGGCUAACUCCGUGCCAGCAGCCGCGGUAAUACGGAGGGUGCAAGCGUUAAUCGGAAUUACUGGGCGUAAAGCGCACCAGGCGGUUUGUUAAGUCAGAUGUGAAAUCCCCGGGCUCAACCUGGGAACUGCAUCUGAUACUGGCAAGCUUGAGUCUCGUAGAGGGGGGUAGAAUUCCAGGUGUAGCGGUGAAAUG